Molecule: long non-coding RNA, 560 nt
Organism: Xenopus tropicalis (tropical clawed frog)
Lineage: Eukaryota; Metazoa; Chordata; Amphibia; Anura; Pipidae
Exons: 2
Source: RefSeq, a predicted model, not a curated record
GCUAGUACUUAACCCCUGAUCCAUAGUCGGCUGUUGGGAUCCUAAUACAGCUAAGGUAUUCAUCCUAAGGACUGAGGUAUCUAUCCAGACUGCCCUCCAGUGGUGCCGUGCUGACCAGGUGUCUUUACCCCGAACAGUCUCGAAAGAGAUGGGAUAAACCGGCGGGCAUCCUUUCAUGUUGUCCUCAGAGUUUGUUACUGCUAAUUCCUCGAUAGAUUCACUUGACAAUGAAGAACAUCAGAGUGAUUUACUGACCUAACAGCUGUGUUGGCCACACAUUUUGCUGACGUUUUGUGUUCGUUACAGCAAAGCAUAUUCUCUUACUGAUUCAUAAAGCAGCCUUUCCCCAAAGGACUCAUCAAGGUUACACAAGGCAGGAUAAAAUGCUCUUAUUUUCCUUUUAAUUAUCAAUAUGGGCAACUUGUUGCUUCUCAUCUGAUUUACAUAAUUCUUCGGUAGUUUCUGAGACCAGAUUGGUGGUAAGGCUUCUUAAAGUGAUACUAACACUAAAACACUACUCUUUAAAUUAUGAAUGUACAUUAAAAGUUCCCUAUAGGUCA